AGACAAGAUAAUAAGGGCAACAAGGUGGAUGCCUUGGCGCUGAGAGGCGAAGAAAGACGUGGUAAGCUGCGAUAAGCAUCGGGGAGGCGCUAAACAUCCUAUGAUCCGGUGAUGUCUGAAUGGGGAAACCCACUGGGAGUAAUGUCCCAGUAUCAUUGACUGAAUACAUAGGUCAAUGAAGCUAACCCAGGGAAGUGAAACAUCUCAGUACCUGGAGGAAAGGAAAUCAAAAGAGACUCCCGUAGUAGUGGCGAGCGAACCGGGAAGAGCCUAAACCAAACAGUUUCGACUGGUUGGGGUUGUAGGGCCGACAUACGUGAUUCUGGAGUAAGCAGGAGAAGAGAACUGGAAAGUUCCGCCAUAGAGAGUGAUAGCCUCGUAUCUGAACCUGAAAAAGACAUAGUCGGUACCUGAGUACUGCGAGGCACGUGUAACCUUGUGGGAAUCUGGGGGGCCCAUCCUCCAAGGCUAAGUACUCCUCAGCGACCGAUAGUGAACAAGUACCGUGAGGGAAAGGUGAAAAGAACCCCUGUAAGGGGAGUGAAAUAGAAUCUGAAACCAGUUGCCUACAAGCUGUGGGAGCAUCUUUAAGAUGUGACCACAUGCCUUUUGCAUAAUGAGUCAGCGAGUUAAUCUAACGUGCAAGGUUAAGCGUAAGUGUAGCCGUAGUGAAAGCGAGGCUGAAUAGGCCGUCAGUACGUUGGAUUAGACCCGAAACCAGGUGAUCUAUCCAUGAGCAGGUUGAAGCAAGGGUAAAGCCUUGUGGAGGACCGAACCAGUAACGGCUGAAAACGUUUUGGAUGACUUGUGGAUAGGGGUGAAAGGUCAAUCAAACCUGGUGAUAGCUGGUUCUCCCCGAAAUAUAUUGAGGUAUAGCCUUGGGAUUGAUUAAUGGAGGUAAAGCACUGAAAGAGCUAGGGGUCCUACCAGAUUACCAAACUCUAUCAAACUCUGAAUGCCAUCUAAUUGUAUCCCAGGAGUCAGACGGCGGGUGCGAAGGUCCGUCGUCGAGAGGGAAAGAGCCCAGACCAACAGCUAAGGUCUCCAAAUCCAUACUCAGUGGGAAAGGUGGUGGAGUUGUAUAUACAGCCAGGACGUUGGCUUAGAAGCAGCCAUCGUUUAAAGAAAGCGUAAUAGCUCACUGGUCUAAUGAUUCUGCGCCGAAAAUGUAACGGGGCUAAGUAUGGUACCGAAGCUUUGGCAUUGCCGUAAGGCAAUGGGUAGGGGAGCGUUCUCUAUAGGCUGAAGCAAAAUCGAGAGGUUUUGUGGACAGUAGAGAAGUGAUUAUGCUGACAUGAGUAACGAUAAAAUAGGUGAAAAACCUAUUCGCCGAAAACCCGAGGUUUCCUGGGUAAAGGUAAUCUUCCCAGGGUUAGUCGGUCCCUAAGGUAAGGGCGAAAGCCGUAGCUGAUGGGAAACAGGUUAAUAUUCCUGUACUUGAUACAUAGCGUGAUGGAGGGACGCAGGAAGGUAGGCAGGCCAGGUGUUGGAAGUCCUGGUGCAAGCAUGUAGAACUGUCUGGCAGGCAAAUCCACCAGAUGUAUUCGAGAUGCGAACCCGUGAACGUAAGUUCUGAAGCUGUUGAGCCUAUACUGCCAAGAAAAGCUUCUAAGCAUAUAUGUAUCAAACCGUACCGCAAACCAACUCAGGUGGGUAGGAUGAGAAAUCCAAGGCGCUCGAGAGAACUCUGGCCAAGGAACUCGGCAAAAUGGCCCUGUAACUUCGGAAGAAGGGGCGCUUUUGGGGGUGAAAAUAAAACUAUUGGAGCUCCUGGAAGCCGCAGUGAAUUGGUGGUGGCGACUGUUUACUAAAAACAUAGGUCUCUGCAAAGUCCAAAAGACGACGUAUAGGGACUGACGCCUGCCCGGUGCUGGAAGGUUAAAAGGAGGUGUUAGCGCAAGCAAAGCACCAAAUUGAAGCCCCAGUAAACGGCGGCCGUAACUAUAACGGUCCUAAGGUAGCGAAAUUCCUUGUCGGGUAAGUUCCGACCUGCACGAAUGGCGUAACGAUCUCCACACUGUCUCGGCCAGAGACUCGGUGAAAUUGAAGUCGCGGUGAAAAUGCCGUGUAUCCGCAGAAAGACAGAAAGACCCUGUGCACCUUUACUAUAGCUUGACAUUGGAUUUUGGGCUUGUAUGUGUAGGAUAGGUGGGAGCCAGUGAAACCUAUACGCCAGUAUAGGCGGAGGCAACCUUGAAAUACCACCCUUACACGUUUAAGAUCCUAACCCUGACCAGUUAGCCUGGCAGGAGACAGUGUCUGGUGGGUAGUUUGACUGGGGCGGUCGCCUCCUAAAAUGUAACGGAGGCAUGCAAAGGUUCCCUCAGCCUGAUCGGAAACCAGGCGUUGAGUGCAAACACAUAAGGGAGCUUGACUGCAAGACAGACAUGUCGAGCAGGAACGAAAGUUGGCGUUAGUGAUCCGGUGGUCCCGAAUGGAAGGGCCAUCGCUCAUUGGAUAAAAGGUACGCCGGGGAUAACAGGCUGAUCGCAUCCAAGAGUUCAUAUCGACGAUGCGGUUUGGCACCUCGAUGUCGGCUCAUCACAUCCUGGGGCUGAAGCAGGUCCCAAGGGUACGGCUGUUCGCCGUUUAAAGUGGUACGCGAGCUGGGUUUAAAACGUCGUGAGACAGUUUGGUCCUUAUCUUCUGUGGACGAAGGAGAAUUGAGAGGGUCUUUCCCUAGUACGAGAGGACCGGGAUGGACGCACCGCUGGUGGUUCUGUUGUCACGCCAGUGGCAUAGCAGAGUAGCUAUGUGUGGAAGGGAUAACCGCUGAAAGCAUCUAAGCGGGAAGCCCGCCUCAAGAUUAGUUCUCCCCCCUCGAAAGAGGCUAAAGGACCCAGGUAGACUACCUGGUUGAUAGGCUGGAGGUGUAAGUACGGUGACGUAUUCAGCUGACCAGUACUAAUAGUCCGUGAGGCUUGCUCUAUUUUACUUU
This 2938-nucleotide ribosomal RNA is filed under the name Lawsonia intracellularis. Its description in RNAcentral is "bacterial LSU rRNA". It matches the Rfam family "Bacterial large subunit ribosomal RNA". The record is from RNAcentral. Lineage: Bacteria; Pseudomonadati; Thermodesulfobacteriota; Desulfovibrionia; Desulfovibrionales; Desulfovibrionaceae.